UACGUAGGGGGCGAGCGUUGUCCGGAAUUACUGGGCGUAAAGAGAGCGUAGGCGGCACUGUAAGUUUCAUGUGAAAUACCCGGGCUUAACUUGGGGGUUGCAUGGAAAACUGCAGAGCUUGAGUACGGGAGAGGCAAGCGGAAUUCCUAGUGUAGCGGUGAAAUGCAUAGAUAUUAGGAGGAACACCAGUGGCGAAGGCGGCUUGCUGGACCGAAACUGACGCUGAGGCUCGAAAGCGUGGGGAGCAAACAGG
RNAcentral lists this ribosomal RNA (253 nucleotides) under uncultured bacterium. RNAcentral describes it as "partial 16S ribosomal RNA". It matches the Rfam family "Bacterial small subunit ribosomal RNA", at positions 524 to 776 of the family's 1533-position model. The record is from RNAcentral.